CCUCUGUCUGAUAUGUUUGAUAUUAGGUUGUUUUAUUGGAAAACCAACUAAAUAUCAAACAUAUUCUUACAGCGCCAGGGACACCCAGCGCCGACCCGGUGAGAUGCUGCUGGCUACCUCCUGCGGGCAGGGGGGAGCACGGAGGGUCCGUGCCCCUUCCCGCACUCCCUGCCUGCCCUCUCGCUGCUGCAGUAAAACCCAUCUGCCCACACCACACGCCUGUCUCUGCGGGGCUGGGGAGAAGGAGCUGGGAGCUGCCAUUGCUAGGGGCUGGCGGAGAUUUGGGAUGGUGGCAUGCGCCCGUGUCCCACCGAGGAUGGAGGCCAUAAAGAAGAAGAUGCAGAUGCUGAAGCUGGACAAGGAGAAUGCCCUGGACCGGGCAGAGCAGGCAGAGGCUGAGCAGAAGCAGGCAGAGGAGCGGAGCAAGCAGCUGGAGGACGAGCUUGCCGCCAUGCAGAAGAAGCUGAAGGGGACGGAGGAUGAGCUGGACAAAUACUCCGAGGCCCUGAAAGACGCCCAGGAGAAGUUGGAGCUGGCAGAGAAGAAGGCAGCAGACGGCGGGGCCGGCGCAGCGCGGAUCCGCGGGACGGGACGGGACGAUAGGAUGGCGGGGGCCACCACCAUCGAGGCGGUGAAGCGCAAGAUCCAGGUGCUGCAGCAGCAGGCGGAUGACGCCGAGGAGCGGGCCGACCGCCUGCAGCGGGAGGUGGAGGCCGAGCGCCGCAACCGCGAGCAGGCUGAGGCAGAAGUGGCAUCUUUGAAUCGCCGUAUCCAGCUGGUAGAAGAAGAGUUAGACCGAGCCCAGGAGCGCCUUGCCACAGCUCUGCAGAAGCUGGAAGAGGCAGAGAAGGCUGCAGAUGAAAGUGAAAGAGGCAUGAAAGUCAUUGAAAACAGAGCUCUGAAGGAUGAGGAGAAGAUGGAACUGCAGGAGAUCCAGCUCAAGGAAGCCAAGCACAUUGCAGAGGAGGCAGACAGGAAGUAUGAGGAGGUGGCUCGGAAACUGGUGAUCAUAGAAGGAGAUCUGGAACGUACUGAAGAGAGAGCUGAGCUUGCAGAGUCUAAAUGUUCCGAGCUGGAAGAAGAGCUGAAGAAUGUCACCAACAAUCUCAAGUCUCUUGAGGCUCAGGCUGAGAAGUACUCUCAAAAAGAGGAUAAAUACGAAGAAGAAAUCAAGAUCCUGACUGAUAAACUCAAAGAGGCGGAGACCCGUGCUGAAUUCGCUGAACGGUCUGUAGCCAAGCUGGAGAAGACCAUUGAUGAUUUGGAAGAUGAGCUCUAUGCCCAGAAACUGAAGUACAAAGCAAUUAGUGAGGAACUGGACCACGCCUUGAAUGACAUGACUUCCAUUGCCCGAAGAGCCCUUCAUGAACAGAGUUUUGACGAAAUGGGACACCUCCCAUGGUUUCCUCAGAGCGCCUGUACAGCCAGCUUGAGAAAAACCGCCUGCUCUCUAAUGAGCUGAAGUUAACGCUGCAUGAUCUGUGUGACUGAGAAGGGGGCCCACUAAUACCAUUAAACAAGCUUAUUGCGACCACCAAUGCUGUGGACCACAGUGAAAUCUGAUCAUUCUUAAGACUGGCAGACUUGCAAAUUUUAUGCAAUUGCUGCUAUUUAAUGGGGCACUUGAAUUUAUCCUCUAAUUUAUUUAAGAGUUGGUUGGGUUUUUUUUUUUAUAAAGGUAACCUCUGUUCUUGGUGAAGUAACCCUCAGACUUGGCUGGUUUUUGAGCAGUCUUGUUCACUUGUCCAGGGGGUCCUGCCUGGCUCCUCCAUGGAACCAGAAUGGCUGCACCCACCAAGAGAGGGGUGGGGUGAAGUUAGGCUUAUGUCUGCUAAAAGAUGCCUGUCAAGUGCUAUGACUUAAUUUACUGUUAGCUGAAUGACUGUAGGAUUUCCUGCUGCAUGGAAUGAUGGCUUCGAACAAUAAAUGACUGACCUUGUGGUCUGUGAGACACUGCAUACCUGUAGUACUUUCCUAUAUAGUUGAGUCCUAACCUAGAAGGUUUGGGGGAAGCAGUCGUUCCUGGGGCCUGACCCCAGUGCAGCUGCAGAGCCCCAGAACAGGUUGGGAAAGCUCAUGGGCAUCUUGAAAGCAAGUCCCAAAAUCCACAGCAUGAAGCUGUGUCUUGAGUGCCUGCAGGCACAAAUCUCUAAAUGCUGCAGUUGCUAGUGCUCUAGGAAGGCUGCUUCUUGCUCUGUGCACAGUUUCUGACCCUGGGGAGGUUGGGGAGUGGCUUUGAGAAAAUGCCUGUACCUAAAGGACAUCUUUCUACAGCCUGUCUGUCCAGUGUCCCAGUGUGUGGAUCUCUUCAGUGAUAAGGGUAGGCUCACCUUUGGAGUAAAGCCUACCUAGAGCACUAGUUGCUGAUCUGAGCUCUCCUCCUGGCUUAAGGAACAUAUAAACUGAAAUCCACCAAAGAGGAGCAUCUCUGCACGCAAAGAAUGCUGGACCAGACCCUGCUAGACCUGAACGAGAUGUAAUGGAUCCCUGCUACUGCCUCCGCCACAUGAUGCCCGGGGGGGCCAGCCCAGCUGCUGCUGACCUCUAACCCUUGGGGACCAGAGUUUACUUUCUGUUGCCAACUUGACCAAACACAAAUCUUGUCCUUUGCCUCAGGGUUAAAGGCCAUCAGGUUGGGCAGAGCUUCAAACAGCAUUAUUAAGGGAAAUAAACAAUGCAAUAAUGUUUGGGGAGCAUGUUUGAGAUGUAUACAUUUUGUAACUACCUUUUUUUGUAGCAACCAUUGUAAACAUUCCAAAUAACUUGUGAGAGGGUGAUGAGCUAUACUUCAAAGCUCUUGGCUUUAAAAUUGAGUAUUAACCUUCUGUUAAUCAGCUCUGGACCACCCUGCUUUGGCAGGGGAGGAAGGAGGGUGUGACGGUUCUGGCGGUGGCCACUGAAUCAAAGUAGCUGGGCUAGGGAUGGAAGCCUGUUGGGAAGUCUUCCUUUCCAGGAGCUGUUUGCCAAAAGAGCAGUUCAGUUUCUCAGCUUUAAGAUAACUCUGUGUUGUGCAGAAGCAACUUGCGUGAAAGGAGAUUUUUUUUUUUUUUUUUUUUUUUUUUUUUUUUUUAAGGCCAAGCCUGUUAUCUGAACAAUUGAUCCUUCGCAGGGGUUGUUUCCCUUCCCUGCCCCGCCCCCCCCCCCCCCCCCCCCCGCCAGUGUGGGCCACUCCCUUUCCUGGUAGGCUUAGACGAGCCAUGGCCCCUCUAACCCAUUGCUACACAGGGGUUGAAUUUGCCUUCACUAAGUGCUGAUGCACCAAGCUUUAUCGCUCAUCGCUGGGUUACACUUAACAGCUUAAGUACAACAGCCUUGCUUUCUUGGAGAAGUUUUAUUUGCCUACCCUGAUGGAGGGAACCGAGGCCUUCCCUCCUGGCCAGGAGUGCUCUUAGUGUCUUAAUAAGGUACAAGCCAUCUUGCUGUGCAUUGCUGAUGUGUAGUUGUUGUGAGGCGUGAGUGUGGAGAUGUGUCAAGCUCGCGGCGUGUAGCUUGUGGUUUGAGCGUGCUGCUUGGUUGUAGCAGUUCUAGGGGCCAAUCUGGAGAAAAGGAACCCUAUCAAAGUGUUUUGAUACUAAAUUGAAAAAUUGUCUUACUGUCUUUUGAAAUAAAAACCAAUCCCUCCA
This is an RNA transcript of Aquila chrysaetos chrysaetos, 3623 nucleotides long. It is a transcript of the gene named tropomyosin 3, with no coding region annotated. The transcript has 15 exons. The record is from RefSeq and is a predicted model, not a curated record. Lineage: Eukaryota; Metazoa; Chordata; Aves; Accipitriformes; Accipitridae.